GUCUACGGCCAUGCCACCCUGAAUAAGCCCGAUCCCAUCUGAUCUUGGAAGCUAAGCAGGUUUGGAUGGGAGACCACCUAGGAAGACCAGAUGCUAUAGGGA
Molecule: ribosomal RNA, 102 nt
Filed under: Pteropus alecto (black flying fox)
Lineage: Eukaryota; Metazoa; Chordata; Mammalia; Chiroptera; Pteropodidae
Source: RNAcentral